AGUGAACGCUGGCGGUAGGCCUAACACAUGCAAGUCGAACGGCAGCACAGUAAGAGUUUGCUCUUACGGGUGGCGAGUGGCGGACGGGUGAGGAAUAUAUCGGAAUCUACUUUUUCGUGGGGGAUAACGUAGGGAAACUUACGCUAAUACCGCAUAUGACCUACGGGUGAAAGCAGUGGAUCUUCGCACCUUGCGCGAUUGAAUGAGCCGAUGUCGGAUUAGCUAGUUGGCGGGGUAAAGGCCCACCAAGGCGACGAUCCGUAGCUGGUCUGAGAGGAUGAUCGGCCACACUGGAACUGAGACACGGUCCAGACUCCUACGGGAGGCAGCAGUGGGGAAUAUUGGGCAAUGGGCGCAAGCCUGAUCCAGCCAUACCGCGUGGGUGAAGAAGGCCUUCGGGUUGUAAAGCCCUUUUGUUGGGAAAGAAAAGCAGCAGGUUAAUACCCCGCUGUUCUGACGGUACCCAAAGAAUAAGCACCGGCUAACUACGUG
Molecule: ribosomal RNA, 492 nt
Filed under: uncultured bacterium
Lineage: Bacteria
Description: partial 16S ribosomal RNA
Rfam family: Bacterial small subunit ribosomal RNA
Source: RNAcentral